AUACGGAAGGUCCGGGCGUUAUCCGGAUUUAUUGGGUUUAAAGGGAGCGCAGGCGGAGAUGCAAGCGUGACGUCAAAUUUCGGGGCUCAACCCCGUCUCGCGUCGCGAACUGCGUCCCUUGGUUGCGGGAAGGGGAGGCGGAACUCGUGGUGUAGCGGUGAAAUGCAUAGAUAUCACGAAGAACUCCGAUCGCGAAGGCAGCCUUCCGGCCCGUCAACGACGCUCAUGCUCGAAGGUGCGGGUAUCAAACAGGAUUAGAUACCCUGGUAGUCCGCACAGUAAACAAUGGACACUCGUGGUCGGCGACACACUGCCGGUCACCAAGCGAAAGCGAUAAGUGUCCCACCUGGGGAGUACGCCGGCAACGGUGAAACUCAAAGGAAUUGACGGGG
RNAcentral lists this ribosomal RNA (392 nucleotides) under uncultured bacterium. RNAcentral's name for it is "partial 16S ribosomal RNA". It matches the Rfam family "Bacterial small subunit ribosomal RNA", at positions 523 to 918 of the family's 1533-position model. The record is from RNAcentral.